Ruditapes philippinarum (Manila clam) is the source of this 364-nucleotide long non-coding RNA. RefSeq lists it as uncharacterized. NCBI's taxonomy places the organism in Eukaryota, Metazoa, Mollusca, Bivalvia, Venerida, Veneridae. The transcript is spliced from 4 exons. The record is from RefSeq and is a predicted model, not a curated record.
CUGUUGUCAAACAUCCCAUUAAUUUUACUUUGUAGAAGAAAGAGAGCUCAAAACCCGAAUCAAAGACUUGUUCCACUGCCGUAAGAAUGGUAUCACGAAAUUAGAGGAAAUUGAAAAGUUUGAAGAAGAAAGAUUGAAAAGAGAGAAAAAGAAAGAAUCGAAAUUAAAAAAGCUUGGCAGUAUUUCCCAAGGAAAACGACUUUUAAUGGCUUCAAAAAAUGUCGCAGACGAAGAAAAACUAGAUAUACUCAUCGACGAAAGCGUUAAGGGCAUUUCUAUUAUAUAUUGUAUCUUUCUGAUUCUUUUCUGAUCAUUAUUAGCCUUUCAAAUUUUACUAUUAAUGGUAUAUUUCUAUUUUAAAAAC